RNAcentral lists this ribosomal RNA (47 nucleotides) under Steinernema xueshanense. RNAcentral's name for it is "partial 28S ribosomal RNA". The record is from RNAcentral. Lineage: Eukaryota; Metazoa; Nematoda; Chromadorea; Rhabditida; Steinernematidae.
ACCAACUUAACUUAAGCAAAAAUACCCCGUGAACUUAAACAUAAACC